RNAcentral lists this ribosomal RNA (424 nucleotides) under uncultured bacterium. RNAcentral's name for it is "bacterial SSU rRNA". It matches the Rfam family "Bacterial small subunit ribosomal RNA", at positions 355 to 794 of the family's 1533-position model. The record is from RNAcentral.
UGGGGAAUAUUGGGCAAUGGGCGAAAGCCUGACCCAGCAACGCCGCGUGGAGGAAGAAGGUUUUCGGAUCGUAAACUCCUGUCCUCAGGGAAGAGAAGGAGACGGUACCUGAGGAGGAAGCCCCGGCUAACUACGUGCCAGCAGCCGCGGUAAUACGUAGGGGGCAAGCGUUGUCCGGAAUGAUUGGGCGUAAAGGGCGCGUAGGCGGCUCGGUAAGUCUGGAGUGAAAGUCCUGGCUUCAAGUUGGGAAUUGCUUUGGAUACUGUCGGGCUUGAGUGCAGGAGAGGUUAGUGGAAUUCCCAGUGUAGCGGUGAAAUGCGUAGAGAUUGGGAGGAACACCAGUGGCGAAGGCGACUAACUGGACUGUAACUGACGCUGAGGCGCGAAAGUGUGGGGAGCAAACAGGAUUAGAUACCCUGGUAGU